Molecule: ribosomal RNA, 1510 nt
Filed under: Klebsiella pneumoniae
Lineage: Bacteria; Pseudomonadati; Pseudomonadota; Gammaproteobacteria; Enterobacterales; Enterobacteriaceae
Description: bacterial SSU rRNA
Rfam family: Bacterial small subunit ribosomal RNA
Source: RNAcentral
AGAGUUUGAUCAUGGCUCAGAUUGAACGCUGGCGGCAGGCCUAACACAUGCAAGUCGAGCGGUAGCACAGAGAGCUUGCUCUCGGGUGACGAGCGGCGGACGGGUGAGUAAUGUCUGGGAAACUGCCUGAUGGAGGGGGAUAACUACUGGAAACGGUAGCUAAUACCGCAUAAUGUCGCAAGACCAAAGUGGGGGACCUUCGGGCCUCAUGCCAUCAGAUGUGCCCAGAUGGGAUUAGCUAGUAGGUGGGGUAACGGCUCACCUAGGCGACGAUCCCUAGCUGGUCUGAGAGGAUGACCAGCCACACUGGAACUGAGACACGGUCCAGACUCCUACGGGAGGCAGCAGUGGGGAAUAUUGCACAAUGGGCGCAAGCCUGAUGCAGCCAUGCCGCGUGUGUGAAGAAGGCCUUCGGGUUGUAAAGCACUUUCAGCGGGGAGGAAGGCGNCGAUUGACGUUACCCGCAGAAGAAGCACCGGCUAACUCCGUGCCAGCAGCCGCGGUAAUACGGAGGGUGCAAGCGUUAAUCGGAAUUACUGGGCGUAAAGCGCACGCAGGCGGUCUGUCAAGUCGGAUGUGAAAUCCCCGGGCUCAACCUGGGAACUGCAUUCGAAACUGGCAGGCUAGAGUCUUGUAGAGGGGGGUAGAAUUCCAGGUGUAGCGGUGAAAUGCGUAGAGAUCUGGAGGAAUACCGGUGGCGAAGGCGGCCCCCUGGACAAAGACUGACGCUCAGGUGCGAAAGCGUGGGGAGCAAACAGGAUUAGAUACCCUGGUAGUCCACGCCGUAAACGAUGUCGAUUUGGAGGUUGUGCCCUUGAGGCGUGGCUUCCGGAGCUAACGCGUUAAAUCGACCGCCUGGGGAGUACGGCCGCAAGGUUAAAACUCAAAUGAAUUGACGGGGGCCCGCACAAGCGGUGGAGCAUGUGGUUUAAUUCGAUGCAACGCGAAGAACCUUACCUGGUCUUGACAUCCACAGAACUUUCCAGAGAUGGAUUGGUGCCUUCGGGAACUGUGAGACAGGUGCUGCAUGGCUGUCGUCAGCUCGUGUUGUGAAAUGUUGGGUUAAGUCCCGCAACGAGCGCAACCCUUAUCCUUUGUUGCCAGCGGUUAGGCCGGGAACUCAAAGGAGACUGCCAGUGAUAAACUGGAGGAAGGUGGGGAUGACGUCAAGUCAUCAUGGCCCUUACGACCAGGGCUACACACGUGCUACAAUGGCAUAUACAAAGAGAAGCGACCUCGCGAGAGCAAGCGGACCUCAUAAAGUAUGUCGUAGUCCGGAUUGGAGUCUGCAACUCGACUCCAUGAAGUCGGAAUCGCUAGUAAUCGUAGAUCAGAAUGCUACGGUGAAUACGUUCCCGGGCCUUGUACACACCGCCCGUCACACCAUGGGAGUGGGUUGCAAAAGAAGUAGGUAGCUUAACCUUCGGGAGGGCGCUUACCACUUUGUGAUUCAUGACUGGGGUGAAGUCGUAACAAGGUAACCGUAGGGGAACCUGCGGUUGGAUCACCU